CCAUCCGAUUUCUCAAUCUUUUCCCCACCUUUCCUGCCUUUCUAUUCCACAAAGCCGCCAUUGUCAUCCUGGCUCGUUCUCAAUGAGCUGUUGGGCACACCUCCCAGACGGGGUGGUGGCCGGGCAGAGGGGCUCCUCAGUUCCCAGUAGGGGCGGCCGGGCAGAGGCGCCCCUCACUUCCCGGAUGGGGGGGCUGGCCGGGCGGGGGGCUGACCCCCCCCACCUCCCUCCCGGACGGGGCGGCUGGCCAGGCAGA
RNAcentral lists this long non-coding RNA (256 nucleotides) under Homo sapiens (human). RNAcentral's name for it is "HSALNT0341523". The record is from RNAcentral. Lineage: Eukaryota; Metazoa; Chordata; Mammalia; Primates; Hominidae.